GGGUUGUGAGGUUAAGCGACUAAGCGUACACGGUGGAUGCCCUGGCAGUCAGAGGCGAUGAAGGACGUGCUAAUCUGCGAUAAGCGUCGGUAAGGUGAUAUGAACCGUUAUAACCGGCGAUUUCCGAAUGGGGAAACCCAGUGUGUUUCGACACACUAUCAUUAACUGAAUCCAUAGGUUAAUGAGGCGAACCGGGGGAACUGAAACAUCUAAGUACCCCGAGGAAAAGAAAUCAACCGAGAUUCCCCCAGUAGCGGCGAGCGAACGGGGAGCAGCCCAGAGCCUGAAUCAGUGUGUGUGUUAGUGGAAGCGUCUGGAAAGGCGCGCGAUACAGGGUGACAGCCCCGUACACAAAAAUACACAUACUGUGAGCUCGAUGAGUAGGGCGGGACACGUGGUAUCCUGUCUGAAUAUGGGGGGGCCAUCCUCCAAGGCUAAAUACUCCUGACUGACCGAUAGUGAACCAGUACCGUGAGGGAAAGGCGAAAAGAACCCCGGCGAGGGGAGUGAAAAAGAACCUGAAACCGUGUACGUACAAGCAGUGGGAGCACGCUUAGG
This 558-nucleotide ribosomal RNA is filed under the name Escherichia coli. RNAcentral describes it as "partial 23S ribosomal RNA". It matches the Rfam family "Bacterial large subunit ribosomal RNA", at positions 1 to 589 of the family's 2925-position model. The record is from RNAcentral. Lineage: Bacteria; Pseudomonadati; Pseudomonadota; Gammaproteobacteria; Enterobacterales; Enterobacteriaceae.